CAAGUCUGCCCCACAGGCUGUUACAGGGUGGGGCUUCUAUGGGCUGCCAACCAGAGCAGCUUUGCCCUGAUGGAGAUGUGUUCACCGUGGCUGCACUGUGGGAAGAACCAAUAUGGUCAGAUCGUAAAGGAACUCAGCUUCUUCUACCCUGGCCAUUUCUAUGAUCAAAGGACAUUUGAGAAAAGAUUUAUCCUUUUGCAUGCAGCAGAGUCCCAGCAUAACUUGUUGUGACCCCCAUCACCAUCAGUGCAAAAUGAUGUACAGUCAAGUGGCAAAUCAUGAGGUCAGUUCCAAGGGGUGGGAGCCAGGAGGGGCUGAGCAGAAAGGGAGACCAGAACAUCCAGCUUCUAAUUUCCUCUGUUCCUCCCAACAGGAAACUCAGAAGCCUUCAAUACUAGGGUUGGAUGUGAAUGCCUUCUCACAAGUUGGUGUGAGGCCUGAGCGGGACCUGGUACCUCGUAUGCUGCCUACAUGAAAUCACGUCCGUCCACGGUGCUGACGAUGCUGCAGGUGAGGAUUCGCAGGCCACGAUUCUGAUGACAGCACCACUAUCCACCCCUUCCUCCAUCCCUCCCCCUCAGCAUUCCGUCCUCAGCAAGUGAACGGAUCUUGCCCUGCCCUCCCCAAGCAUCGCCCCGUUCGACCACCUGCUCUCCUUUCCCCAACCCAGCUGACUAAAGCGCUGGAGAAGACAGACCCCAGUCUGUCAGGAUCCCCCACCCCUGGAGAUAGGACGUUGGGCAAGGGACUUGAUAUCCCUGAGCCUCUGUAACUGUGCUGCUUCUUACCUUACUAGGUACUGUGAGAUUUAGUGAGACUGUGAAUCAGUUAACCCAGAGCCAGGCCCAGAGCAAACAUUAGCUUCUGUGUUCAUCUUCUUGGACUGGGCCUGCUGCUCAGCCCUGGGGCCAGAGCUGGGAAAGACGCGGGCACUGCUUCCAGGCCUCCACACUCAGGUGUGGGAGAUGGACACCUGCAUAGCAGCUGGAACUCAGGGUGCCAGAGGCGGCUGUAGGGGCCGCUCCAGGAGGCCUCCCAGAGGGGUCCACACUGGGAGGUGGGCAGGGGGUGCCGGGUGGCAUUGCGGGCUGAGCACUGCACACACGAGCAGAGACACUGAAGCCUGUUCCAAACACACCCCGAUGCUAAAGCCGCCAACCCAAGUUGCUUGCAGGAGUCUGAAGAGAGA
This 1189-nucleotide long non-coding RNA is filed under the name Vulpes vulpes (red fox). RNAcentral's name for it is "lncRNA (ENSVVUG00000006138.1)". The record is from RNAcentral. Lineage: Eukaryota; Metazoa; Chordata; Mammalia; Carnivora; Canidae.